Molecule: ribosomal RNA, 494 nt
Filed under: uncultured bacterium
Lineage: Bacteria
Description: partial 16S ribosomal RNA
Rfam family: Bacterial small subunit ribosomal RNA
Source: RNAcentral
GACGAACGCUGGCGGCGUGCUUAACACAUGCAAGUCGAACGGUGAAGCGCCUUCCUUUUUGGUGGGUGUGGAUGAGUGGCGAACGGGUGAGUAACACGUGAGUAACCUGCCCCCUUCUUCUGGAUAACCGCAUGAAAGUGUGGCUAAUACGGGAUAUUCUGGGUCUGUCGCAUGAUGGGUCUGGGAAAGAUAUUGUUUCGGUGGGGGAUGGGCUCGCGGCCUAUCAGCUUGUUGGUGGGGUGAUGGCCUACCAAGGCGGUGACGGGUAGCCGGCCUGAGAGGGUGGACGGUCACACUGGGACUGAGACACGGCCCAGACUCCUACGGGAGGCAGCAGUGGGGAAUAGUGCACAAUGGGCGCAAGCCUGAUGCAGCGACGCCGCGUGAGGGAUGGAGGCCUGCGGGUUGUGAACCUCUUUCGCCAGUGAAGCAGGCCUGCCUCGUUUGUGGGUGGGUUGACGGUAGCUGGAGAAGAAGCGCCGGCUAACUACGUG